Molecule: ribosomal RNA, 497 nt
Filed under: uncultured bacterium
Lineage: Bacteria
Description: partial 16S ribosomal RNA
Rfam family: Bacterial small subunit ribosomal RNA
Source: RNAcentral
GAUGAACGCUGGCGGCGUGCCUAAUACAUGCAAGUCGAGCGAACGGACGAGACUCUUGCUUCUCUGAUGUUAGCGGCGGACGGGUGAGUAACACGUGGAUAACCUACCUAUAAGACUGGGAUAACUUCGGGAAACCGGAGCUAAUCCCGGAUAAUAUUUUGCACCGCAUGGUUCAAAAGUGAAAGACGGUCUUGCGGUCACUUAUAGCUGGAUCUGCGCUGCAUUAGCUAGUUGGUAAGGUAACGGCUUACCAAGGCAACGAUGCAUAGCCGACCUGAGAGGGUGAUCGGCCACACUGGAACUGAGACACGGUCCAGACUCCUACGGGAGGCAGCAGUAGGGAAUCUUCCGCAAUGGGCGAAAGCCUGACGGAGCAACGCCGCGUGAGUGAUGAAGGUCUUCGGAUCGUAAAACUCUGUUAUUAGGGAAGAACAUAUGUGUAAGUAACUGUGCACAUCUUGACGGUACCUAAUCAGAAAGCCACGGCUAACUACGUG